Molecule: long non-coding RNA, 314 nt
Organism: Neltuma alba
Lineage: Eukaryota; Viridiplantae; Streptophyta; Magnoliopsida; Fabales; Fabaceae
Exons: 3
Source: RefSeq, a predicted model, not a curated record
UUCGUGUAUACAAUUUAGUGGGUAAGGACAGCGGCUUUGGUGGCGCCGUUUGAUAGAGCUACGAAGUUAUGAAAACAAGAGAGCUUGUCUUUAGUUUGAGUUCAAUUCAGAGACUCAACCUGAAUGUCGGCUUUUAAGACUUGCUCAGAUGGGUCUUGGACAUGAAGGAGCUCAUCUUCAUGGGAGAGAGUUUUGAAAUUGGGUCUUGAAAAUGAUGGAUUUAUUCGUAGUUGACUGGUCCUUCUAAAUGGAGGGAAACUGAAGAGGCCAAGAACCUGUUUGAUGAAAUGCUUACAAGAGCCUCUGUCACAAGG